Cavia porcellus (domestic guinea pig) is the source of this 3538-nucleotide long non-coding RNA. RefSeq lists it as uncharacterized. The transcript is spliced from 2 exons. The record is from RefSeq and is a predicted model, not a curated record. NCBI's taxonomy places the organism in Eukaryota, Metazoa, Chordata, Mammalia, Rodentia, Caviidae.
GGCAGAGCUGGGCGGUCUGUGGAUGGGUGUGUGUGUGUGUGUGUGUGUGUGUGUGUGUGUGUGCGCGCGCGCGCGCGCGCAUAGAGCACGGGCAAGGGGCAACCUGACCGGAAGACAGAGUAUGCAGUAUUGUCCUCUGAAGCAGCUCUCCUCCCGCCAGCCGAGACAAGACGGAGAUAGCCACCUUCUGUGGGGCCCGGUCCACCCUGGGCGCCCUCUCCCCCGCCCGAGCUGCUCCUCAGCCACAUGCCCUUGGGCUGAGCUAAGUCCAGAACCCGGCUGAGUAGGGGAAUUGUUCUGAGAAAGUGGCCCGUUGGCUGGUUGCUAUGGAAACCGACAUACCACAGCGCUGACCCCGGAGAGGUUUAGCACGCUCCCCCAGCAGGGAUGCCAGCAGCUGGACUGCAGCUGUUACAGCCUAAGUGGGGGCCGCCGCCGCCGCCAGCGGUCCCGCUGUUUGCCUAAACCAGGCCGGCAGCAGAGCGGCUCCGUGCUCCUGCCCCGCGCCGCACCGCACCCCUCCUCCCCGGGAGGGGAGCAGCGCCCCAGCCCUGGAGGGUGGGGGUGGGGCGCAGGGCGGCCUCGACUUUCGGGGAGGACAGGAAAUCUCCUUCAAGAAGCGUGGCUCAUCCUUGACGGGCAUGGGACGUCCUUUGCAUUUUAUGUCUGGGGAAACUGAGGCGCAGGGAAGAGGAGGAACUGGUGCCUUCCCCGUAACGCGCUACUUGCCACCCUGCCGCCAGCCCCGCGCGGCCCACCCCGGACACCACCGAGAGAGUACUGCGCACCGAUGGAUGAAUGAAAGAAGCACCCCAAACGGAUGGCAGAACUAGAAAGAGGAACACCGAGAAGAGGAGAGGGAGCAACCCAGUCUAACAAACAUCAAAGGCCCUUCUGAGCUAGUGGCCCCCUUCCCUCCAGAAGACAGCCCUCUGGCUUCUCAGGAUGAAUUAACUGCCUUCUAAGGCUCUCCUCACCUAGCCACCCUAAACCAGUUGGUGGCAGGCGACUUGAGAGCUGCUGUGUGUCUCCUGCUGUCCUUAGCAGGGAGGAAGUUGUACUCCUUGGUUCCAGGGACACAGGGUCUCAGGGAUCAGCUCGGGAAUGUACACUCCCUAGCUGAUGACCUGGCUCUGCAGUGGGCAGGAAGAUUGCUUUCGUGUUUACGUCACCUUCUUUACUUUUUAAUCAAACGUCAACAUCACAGGCGUAUUCUGCUCUUCAGAUCCAACAAGGACAGCUUCAGAGCCAAUGCUCUCCUCGUCUGGCCACCUUUCUGUCUUCUGAAAAAGACCACCCUGUCAGUUGUGGGCAUCUGCCUCCAUUUGAGAUGGAGAUGAGGUAUCGAGAGGAUUGCAGGUGCCCUGACGUCUGGCCGGUGAGGUUAUGGAAGGCAUUUGUUGAGCAAAUGACACCCAACCCCAUCUGCAGGCCCUGUGAGUCUGGUGGCGGUGAGGGCACAUGUGGAAGAAGCCCUGGACAAGUAUCCCUGGUCAGAAGUAGUUUCCAGUCUUGAAGGACUCAGCAGCUGAGUGCUCUGAGGUUAAUCAGAUUACAGUCAGACACCGCCCUGUCCCAGAGAAGAGAUGCUUUGCCCACAUCUCAAGGCACAGUCGAGCACCCACUGAGUGGCGAUGGUCUUUAAGCAAAGUGAAGAGGUGAUGGUGAAAUUAGACCUGCAAGACCAUUCCAAGGGCAAACUCCAGACAGAGCUUUCCUUCCGUUGCCUCCUCCUUGCAAAAACAGAUCCAUGAAUAGCCAACUCUGGGAAGCAGCAGCAUCCCAUCCUGACAGCAGCCGUCACUGUGCCCUUCAGGAAAAGCUUGGAGAUGAACCCAAGACAAAAACUGGGCCAAGGCCACAGAGCAAAUCACCCUGAGACACGGUUGCAUCCCACCAGAUGACAGUGACACCCCUUCCCCAGUCACUGUCUCACUGAAGUCCCAACCACUUCCUGGGCCACCCUGCAGCACAGAUGACAAUUCUUAUUCCCAUGUGACAAGGAGGAAAAGUGUCCUUUGCGUGUGGCCUGAGUACACACCUGAGGUCACAACAAUAAAAAGUAGUGAAGUCUGUGGGUCAGCACCCAUCCUCUUCAGGACAAGCCUCUUGGUAAAUUUUCUCUGUCCUCAGAGACUCUAGUACACAUGCAAACAUUUCUUGUACAGCAGCAAGACAAAAAGUUGUCCUGAAGUCUGCAGCAAGAUUUGUUCAGCCAUGUCUGGGUGUAGAGGGGAAGCAGAGGGGGAGAGGACGUAGCCAGAGCCUAGUGAGUCAUGGGUUAUGGGGAAAGGGAUCACCCUCAAGUGUGCUGUCACUCUGCAAAGAAUGUAGCACAAGCGACUAGGCUACUUUUCCGUUGACAGUGACUUCUAAAACAUCCCCAGGAUUCUUAAGCUAAGGGAGCAGCAGGUACCUUUCUAAGUAAAAAAUAAAGAGGGAGGUGGUAAUGGGAGAGGGGUGACUGGGUGGGACGGUGGACAGACAACAGGCUGCGUGCUGAGGAGCAGUGGGGUCAGUACAUGAGUGACAAGACACAGCACUCCCAGCCAGGUUUCCCAGAGCACAGGCUGUGGGCAGCGCCAGCAUUCUGAGGGGGCAGAUGUGAAGGGCAGAGGAUGAAGUUGGAUCCCACAGGGCCAGGCUGUGUGUUCAGGAGCAGGAAACAAGAAAGGCCUGGUCAGUUCAGAUACCCGGAGUGCUGAUGUGCCAGGCAGGAGGGCCGGGGCCCACAGAGGGACCUGUGGAACCCAAAGGAAAGAACCCAAACGCUUGGCUUACUGGGAGUAAUUUUAGAAUGAGAGCUGCAGACUAGAAAGAAAAAGAUUAUGUGUAUUACAAAACAUUUAAAAAUGGGCUGGCUGAAAAUUAAGGCCAAUUACAAGUAUCCUUACAACACUGUAGGUGACCCAAAAUGUUUACUGAAUGAAGAAGGCUCUUCUCAUUUUAGAGAUAAGAGAAACUAAGAGAUCUGUAGCUUUUACACGUAAUGAUAUGCUAUGUCUCCAAGAUAGCAACAAACCUCCCAAAGCCUACGGGAGAAAACCACUCUGUCUUGAUGAACUGCUUUUCAGUGUUGAGUUUGAAAAUGGUGCUCCACAUGUGACAGCUCCGUGUGCACCAGGGCAAAAUCUGGUUCUGUUGGAUCUGUCUGCACUGAGAUCCUACUGUAUGCCCGACACUGCACAGAAACACUUCCUUCCUCUUCCACUGCAGACCACAGCGAAGUAGGGUUUGCUGCCUUCGAGGAUCCUGUUGCUGAUGCUGCUGUUGCAGCCAAGGCUGAAGACACAGCAGGAGAUCUGCUGGCUCCUUGCAUCCCCUGGGGUCCUGAGCACCUCCUGGCUUGGUUACAGAGGACCUGGAUGACCUGUUCUGCCCGUCUUCCCAUCCCUGGCAACCUGGUGGCAGAAGGGGGGGUGUGGUGCCUGCCACAGUGCCUGUCUCCCUUGCCAUUUCUUCUGCAGCUCCCUCACUGGCCCUGUUUUUCAGACCUCUAGUAAUAAAAACAAGCCAAUAAAAUGAACAUGAAAAUAUA